RNAcentral lists this ribosomal RNA (465 nucleotides) under Vreelandella stevensii. RNAcentral's name for it is "partial 16S ribosomal RNA". It matches the Rfam family "Bacterial small subunit ribosomal RNA", at positions 338 to 795 of the family's 1533-position model. Lineage: Bacteria; Pseudomonadati; Pseudomonadota; Gammaproteobacteria; Oceanospirillales; Halomonadaceae. The record is from RNAcentral.
CCUACGGGUGGCUGCAGUGGGGAAUAUUGGACAAUGGGGGGAACCCUGAUCCAGCCAUGCCGCGUGUGUGAAGAAGGCCCUCGGGUUGUAAAGCACUUUCAGUGAGGAAGAACGCCUGGUGGUUAAUACCCAUCAGGAAAGACAUCACUCACAGAAGAAGCACCGGCUAACUCCGUGCCAGCAGCCGCGGUAAUACGGAGGGUGCGAGCGUUAAUCGGAAUUACUGGGCGUAAAGCGCGCGUAGGUGGCUUGAUAAGCCGGUUGUGAAAGCCCCGGGCUCAACCUGGGAACGGCAUCCGGAACUGUCAAGCUAGAGUGCAGGAGAGGAAGGUAGAAUUCCCGGUGUAGCGGUGAAAUGCGUAGAGAUCGGGAGGAAUACCGGUGGCGAAGGCGGCCUUCUGGACUGACACUGACACUGAGGUGCGAAAGCGUGGGUAGCAAACAGGAUUAGAUACCCGUGUAGUC